This is a long non-coding RNA of Cornus florida, 615 nucleotides long. RefSeq lists it as uncharacterized. The transcript has 4 exons. The record is from RefSeq and is a predicted model, not a curated record. NCBI's taxonomy places the organism in Eukaryota, Viridiplantae, Streptophyta, Magnoliopsida, Cornales, Cornaceae.
GCAAAGCACUUCUCCACGUCUAACCGUCGUUGGUGCGCCCUCUCUGUAACCCAGCGAAGCACUUCUCCACUUCUGCCAUUCAUUUAUUGUUGUUCUAGUAAUAUGGACCAUGUGGAAGCAAGUGGCAGUACGUGUGGUGCCUACAGGCUUUUUGUUGGAUUUCACUAGUUAGCUAACUAGCUUGUGCCAAGGUGUGUGAGUUUUCUGGCAGCUGGAGGGUCGUGAAAGCAAGGAGGUUAUGGGAUUAUGUGACAAUGGACGGGCUUACAUGUUACAUGCUUACGGAAGGCUAGGAAAAUAACAUCAUAUUAAAGUCAUUAUGACUUGUUUCCUCACUAUUAAUUCCUUGGAGCUCCCCUACUGCAUUAUGACUGUUAUUUCAACCACAAUUUACCUCAUGAGGCUGAAUGGAUAAAUCAGUACAAAGGAAGAGUGUUCAGUUUAAACGACAAGCCUGUGGUGCAUAAAAUUUGGCUGCCGAAUGAGGAAUGCCCCAGAUUGGCAAUGUCUAGAGCCUUUGGGGACUACUUUAUUAAGGAUUUUGGACUUAUAUCCGUCCCUGAAGUGAGGUGUUGUCACAUAUAACCAGCAGAGACCAAUUUGUUGUGUUGCGAA